RNAcentral lists this ribosomal RNA (589 nucleotides) under uncultured bacterium. RNAcentral describes it as "bacterial SSU rRNA". It matches the Rfam family "Bacterial small subunit ribosomal RNA", at positions 338 to 916 of the family's 1533-position model. The record is from RNAcentral.
CCUACGGGAGGCAGCAGUGGGGAAUUGUUCACAAUGGGCGCAAGCCUGAUGACGCAACGCCGCGUGGGGGAUGAAGGUCUUCGGAUCGUAAACCCCUGUCGAAUGGGACGAAUAGCUUUCGGGUUAAUACCCCGGAGGAAUGACGGUACCGUUAAAGGAAGCCACGGCUAACUCUGUGCCAGCAGCCGCGGUAAUACAGAGGUGGCAAGCGUUGUUCGGAAUUACUGGGCGUAAAGGGCGCGUAGGCGGCCAUCUAAGUCAGACGUGAAAUCCCCCGGCUCAACCUGGGAACUGCGUCUGAUACUGGAAGGCUAGAGUUUGGGAGAGGGAUGUAGAAUUCCAGGUGUAGCGGUGAAAUGCGUAGAUAUCUGGAGGAAUACCGGUGGCGAAGGCGGCAUCCUGGACCAAUACUGACGCUGAGGCGCGAAAGCUAGGGGAGCAAACGGGAUUAGAUACCCCCGGGUAGUCCUAGCCCUAAACGAUGAAUACUUGGUGUGGCGGGUAUCGAUCCCUGCCGUGCCGAAGCUAACGCAUUAAGUAUUCCGCCUGGGGAGUACGGUCGCAAGGCUGAAACUCAAAGGAUUGACGG